CUUCGGCGCUCGUAGAUGGCUGUGCGUGCCAUUAGCUAGUUGGCGGUGUGACGGACCACAAAGCGACGAUGGCUAGGGGGCGUGAGAGCGUGGCCCCCCACACGGGUACUGAGACACGGACCCGACUCCUACGGGAGGCAGCAGUAAGGAAUAUUGGACAAUGGGGGCAACCCUGAUCCAGCCAUCCCGCGUGCAGGAUGACGGCCCUACGGGUUGUAAACUGCUUUUGCGAGGGAAGAAACGAGCCCACUUGUGGGUUUUUGACGGUACCUCGAGAAUAAGCACCGGCUAACUCCGUGCCAGCAGCCGCGGUAAUACGGAGGGUGCAAGCGUUAUCCGGAAUCACUGGGUUUAAAGGGUGCGUAGGCGGCAUGGUAAGUCAGGGGUGAAAGGCCGUCGCUUAACGAUGGAACUGCCUUUGAUACUGUCAUGCUUGAAUCAAGUUAAGGCCGGCGGAAUGUGGCAUGUAGCGGUGAAAUGCAUAGAUAUGCCAUAGAACACCGAUUGCGAAGGCAGCUGGCUAGGCUUAGAUUGACGCUGAGGCACGAAAGCGUUGGGGAGCGAACAGGAUUAGAUACCCUGGUAGUCCACGCCCUAAACGAUGUUUACUCGGCCUGGCCCUUGAGGCCAGGGCCCAAGCGAAAGCGUUAAGUAAACCACCCUGGGGAGUACGUCGGCAACGAUGAAACUCAAAGGAAUUGACGGGGGUCCGCACAAACGGUUGGAGCCUAUUGUGGUUUAAUUCGAUGAUACGCGAGGAACCUUACCUAAGGCUAGAAUGCGAGCGCCACCCUGCGAAAGCAGGGGUUCCUUCGGGACGCGAAGCAAGGUGCUGCAUGGCUGUCGUCAGGCUCGUGCUGUGAGGUUUGGUUAAGUCCCGCAACGAGCGCACCCCUAUUUCCAGUUGCCAGCAAUAAGAUGGGGACUCUGGAAAGACUGCCGGCGCAAGCC
RNAcentral lists this ribosomal RNA (951 nucleotides) under uncultured organism. RNAcentral's name for it is "bacterial SSU rRNA". It matches the Rfam family "Bacterial small subunit ribosomal RNA", at positions 210 to 1164 of the family's 1533-position model. The record is from RNAcentral.